Saccostrea cuccullata (small rock oyster) is the source of this 479-nucleotide long non-coding RNA. RefSeq lists it as uncharacterized. The record is from RefSeq and is a predicted model, not a curated record. NCBI's taxonomy places the organism in Eukaryota, Metazoa, Mollusca, Bivalvia, Ostreida, Ostreidae. The transcript has 2 exons.
UCUUGGAACUUAUUUAUGACAGGUACAUAUCUCAUACAUUUGUUAAGUGUCAGUUCUUUAUACAUUCAUUUAAAGUACAGUAUACAGUUUGAAAUUUUAUAUUUAAUCGUUCUGAAGUUUAAAUUUAAAAUUCCAUAUUUAUGAACCUCAAUCUAAGUAUCAAAUACAUGUCCAUAUUCCAAGGUUACUUUACAUGUAUCAAAACUCAUAAGCUCAUGGAAAAUAGUAUCUACUAUCCAAAAAAAACCCUUCACAUUGCUGUGUAUUAAGGUACAUUCAAUACCGGACAUCCAAUUAUGCUUUGAUCUUUGAACAAAACAUAAAUCAAUAAUGAGGUCCACAUAAAAAUUGACAGCUGUACAUAUACCAUAAAUUAAUAUUUCUUUCCAGCAAAUUAUAUAGUCUACAGAAUUGUUCCAAAAAAAAAGAAGUAAAAUUGCAAUAUUUGAUCCAUGAUACAUGUAUUACAACCAAUAAAA